This 253-nucleotide ribosomal RNA is filed under the name uncultured bacterium. RNAcentral's name for it is "partial 16S ribosomal RNA". It matches the Rfam family "Bacterial small subunit ribosomal RNA", at positions 524 to 776 of the family's 1533-position model. The record is from RNAcentral.
UACGUAGGGUGCAAGCGUUGUCCGGAAUUAUUGGGCGUAAAGAGCUCGUAGGCGGUUUGUUGCGUCGGCUGUGAAAUCCCGAGGCUCAACCUCGGGUCUGCAGUCGAUACGAGCAAACUAGAGUGUUGCAGGGGAGACUGGAAUUCCUGGUGUAGCGGUGAAAUGCGCAGAGAUCAGGCAGAACACCUGGGGCGAAGGCGGCCAGCUGGGCCGUCCCUGACGCUGAGGCGCGAAGGCGUGGGGAGCGAACGGG